CCGACAAGAGAAGGAGAAGCCACUGGCCUCCUCGUGGAGGGCAUCCCCCACCCCCGCCCCCCAUCCCCAAGCUUUUGUGUUUGCUGGAGAUCUUGGACGCUCCCCCGGCAAACGGCAUUCAGCAAGGUUAUCGGGCUAGUCACAGCCUUCAAGAAACAAAUAUCUAACACCUCGUUCCCUUUGGCGGUUCAAAAGCCACUGUCACUGGGGUCCACUGGUGGUUUCAAACAAGGCCAUGAUUCAUAUGUCAACGAGAGGAGGAUUUUCAUGAUUUCAUAAUAAAAUGUUGAAACGCUUUGAUCGCAAGUUGUAAGGAGGUGUGAAACAGUGCCUCGGAAACAGACAGAUAUUUGUGUAAGCAUCCUUUAUGUAUUGCCAGUGCGGAAUAAUAACAUAUGAAAGCCCCAACUUACCUCAUCUGCCUGGUACAACCAAGGCAUAAAUAAAGGGGAACAAUGGGAUUACUAUUACUCACUCUCCGAGAGCCAGCGAUAUCACUGUAUCCUUUAUAAUUGCUGGCAAGAAGAUUAAUGUUUUGUUAAAUAUCAGAGCAAGGUCACAAGGGGGCUUGCGGGCCUGUCUAAACAUCUAGUCUUUAAACUCCUUCUCUCUCACUUGCUCAUUUUUGAGGAAAUGAACUUGUAGCGUUUCCUCUAAUUAUGGUGAUUUCUGCUUUUGAAAGCUGGCCUACAUCAUCACCUCGCCCCAAACACACACUCUCUCUCUCUCUCUCUCUCUCUCUCUCUCUCUCUCUCACACACACACACACACACGCGCACACGCACACACACACGCACACCUUCCCCGAAUGAUAUUUGGGGACAGGCUUGAUUUAGCUGCAGCAUAUGGGCAAUGUUGUUAUGAGGCGACCUUGCCCUUUUAACCAACGUGGAUAAUUCAUUGCCUGCCACUGUGGCCUGAAGCAAGGGGCUUGGGCUUAAGAGAUCGACUUUAUUGGGGUCCUCAGGGGGCUCCCUACCGAAGACUGCUAUCAUCGUCCGCCGUGCUUCUGUUAUGUUUAGCCCGUACACCCGUCCACGCAGAUGUUUCCAACAGCAAACAGUUCGUGACCCAGAAAGAACAAAAUAUUUUGGCUUUUCCCAGCUUUCAACACCUGUUCAAACCAAAGAGGCUUCGGAGCUCUGUGCACACACCAGAAAGCCCAGCCAGCAACUGGCGAGAGGCCGCUUCAUGGCCGGAGCCAACCUAUGACUCAGUGGCAAACCCAAGAGCCUUCCCGCAGUGACCCUUAACGCCCAGAUCUUACAGAACGACCCAUCAUCUUCAUGCUGAAGGAUCUAUCAUGUGUAUCUGUCAGUGUAUCUCUACCACAUCAAAAAUUAACCCGGGAAGUCCACAAGCAUCCCUCUGUCGUUUUGUUCUACGUUUUUCAGGGCAGGGUCAUGGCCUUGUACAACACUGGGCUCCGGGUAUUUGCCGUUUGUCCGGUUUCUGCGGGCUGGCGGUUGACUUUGGAAGUCCUUCUGGACUGAGUGAUUGAGGACAGCACCCCGGGCGUGGUGGUGGACGGUCUUUAGAGUUUCCCAAAGGGAACCAGCGACAACACUGAGAAGGCUCGGGGUCGACAGGAACAUCUUACAAAUAAUGGCUAAGAACACAGUAGAAGGCAGGAAGGGGAACCUUACAAAAAGCAAGAGGAUUGCCAGGGGGGUGCAGGGCCCUGGCUCUGGGGCCUGCUGAUCUCCCCGCUCCACACCUUGUGCCUGGGCAAAGGCUCCAUUAGUUGCAGCCCCAAUUUUAAGAUUUGCUUAUCUGUUUGUUUUUCCUCCUUGCGGCUCAGGGAGGAGUUAAGAAGUAAAAGAGACAGCUUGGAAUGAAGGUAGGUGUAGAAGGCAAUUCAAUGUGAAAGAGGGGAUGUCCUGACUUCGGGGACUUGCCUUACCUUCCUUCACUAAUCUCAGCGACAGUCACAGGUGUAGGAACAGCCGCGAUUACCUCUUGCCUCAGCAUGAAACAAAAGCCCCACCUCUGUAGAUGUCUGUGCCUCGUUUACACUGUAGACCCUCAACAGCACGCGUUUGAAUCA
This 2047-nucleotide long non-coding RNA is filed under the name Lynx pardinus (Iberian lynx). Lineage: Eukaryota; Metazoa; Chordata; Mammalia; Carnivora; Felidae. The record is from RNAcentral.